CGCCAGGAUGGUCUCGAUCUCCUGACCUCGUGAUCUGCCUGCCUCAGCCUCCCAAAGUGCUGGGAUUACAGGCGUGAGCCCAGCGCCAGAGAGUAGCACUUUCAAGAGAGCAUCAGCUGCUGGAGGAUGGGGAGGAUCAGGCGGUGGGCAGGGCCAUGGAGCUCCCAAGAGAUUAUGUCCUUUGUCUUCAGCUACCAGGGCUGGUAGGAAAAGAUGAUCAGGUGGGGCAGGGUUCAGCGUGUGUCUGUGCUAAGACUGUCCUUAAGCAGGGCUUGCUGCUGCUGUUCUGGGGGAUGGGGUGUGGUUCCCAGGCCAAUGGAGUUAUGUUCCCAGGGAGAGUAUGGCUGUUUCUGUUGCAUCACACAUGUCGCCAGGGAAGUGGGGGAAAGCCGGCAGCCCCAGGCCUCACCCAGCUCCCACGCAUCCGGUAGCCUGAAGGGCCAGUCUCACUUCCACCAUGUCCCCGCAACAGCACGGAGUGUAUUUUCAGGCAGCCGGUGAGUAGGGCUACAAGCCUCCAGCUGAGAAAGCAAAGCCAACUCACAGUUCCUUGGCUGUCCCGCGGAGCCUGCGGUGGCAAACCACCUCCUUCAGAAGGGUCUGUGGAUUCUCCUGGCUUUUCUGUCCUUGCCGGAGUCCCACUGCUCCCGAACACAUGCCCUGAGGCAGCGUGCCUGCACAACCAGCUUCCAUCUGAACGCUUCAGACAUGCGCUGCAUUCAGCAAUGGCUGUAAGAAUGCACAGACUACAAGAG
Molecule: long non-coding RNA, 755 nt
Filed under: Homo sapiens (human)
Lineage: Eukaryota; Metazoa; Chordata; Mammalia; Primates; Hominidae
Description: non-protein coding LINC02508:5
Source: RNAcentral